This 2937-nucleotide long non-coding RNA is filed under the name Capsicum annuum. Its description in RNAcentral is "long non-coding RNA (CANN_LNC020463)". Lineage: Eukaryota; Viridiplantae; Streptophyta; Magnoliopsida; Solanales; Solanaceae. The record is from RNAcentral.
AAAAAUUAAAAAAGGAUAUAGAAUAUAAUUAUGAUGAAAAAGAUAAAAAACAAGUUCAAAAAAUAAAAUUACUUUGUAGAGAAUUACCAAAAUUGCAAUUUCCAGAUGAAAAUAGAAAAUUUAUAUAUAUAGUAGAAGCAGAUGCAAGUGAAUAUAGUUACGGAGGAGUACUUAAAUAUCGAUAUGAAGCAGAAAAAAUAGAACAUCAUUGUAGAUAUUACUCAGGUACGUUCAACGAAACAGAAAUAAAAUGGGAAAUAAAUAGGAAAGAAUUAUGUUCAUUAUAUAAAUGUUUAUUAGCAUUUGAGCCAUAUAUUGUAUAUAACAAAUUUAUUGUACGAACAGAUAAUACACAGGUACGCUGGUGGUUAACAAAGAAAAUACAAAAUUCAGUUACAACAAAAGAGAUUCGGAGACUAGUUUUGAAUAUAUUAAAUUUCACAUUUACAAUUGAAGUGAUCAGUACUAACAAAAAUGUUAUUGCAGAUUACAUAUCAAGACAAAGCUACACAGACUGAUAUAGUAGAGGAAGAUACUCUAGAAAAAAUACUUAACACCCUAACUACGCUUUCAAUGAAAGUGGACAGUAUGGGUAAUGAGAUAGAAAAGCUAAAGACUAAUGAAGAUAAACUGAAGUCUAUAGCUACAAAUCAGCUAACUCAGCAGUGUGCAGAGCUAUGUCGAUCGGAAGACAUUAAAAAUCCAGAGCUAGAAGGAGACGUUGGGACACUCCAUAAAACCCAUAACAUUUAUCAAUCUACUUCUGCAGGUACAAGCAAAGGAGUUAAUAGACUAAGAUACCGGUUGAUUCCACCAAUUAGGAUGGAAUCCACUUAAAAUAAGAAAAUCCAUUAUUUUUUUUAAUUAUAUAAUGACUAAUUAGAAUAUUUUAUUAUUUAAAAUCCAUAAAAAUACAUUUUAUAAAAAUCUUACCUUUCCAAUAGCAUAAUUGUAAAAAUUUUGAUUCAAAUUUAUCGAUUCGUAAUGUCUUCAAGAUAACAAAACUUUUGCAGUAACAAUUGUUAGCCCUUUCGGAAAAUUGAGAUGACUGAGACAUUGUAUAUGUUGAAGAAAAAAAGAAAAAUCGAGGGAAAGAUUAAGAAAGUAAUAUGAACGUAUUCAAAAAGGUGUCCAUUUAUAUAGAAGACCUGACAAAAAAUGUUAUUAUUGAAGCAUUGUACUUUUUGAACGUUGCAGCUCCAACAUAGACCGUAAAUAGUUUAUCAUCUGCCUAUUGCAUGGUGUUUUAUUGUCUACUAUGAUUGAUAGUUGACCUUAAUUUCUUAUUGUAGAUCCUUUCUUUGUACUGAUUAAAAGGUUAGAAAGGUCAAAAGUUACCGUUAGGACUUAUACUUUUGACUGUUGCACUUUGAUCGUAGACUAUGCGAAUAGUUUAUAAUAUACUAAUGCCAUUCUCAUUCUCACAAGUAAUAAAUCCUUGGUAUUAAUAAUAAGUUUGAACGUAGGUCUACAUUGAACUGUUGUCAUGAUGUAUAAUAAAUUUGACAAAUCUAUUAACAAGGAAUAUAAUAACUAUAAAAAUAAAAAAUUAAAAUAAAAUUAAAUUAAAGUAGUGUAAUUAACACUCCCCAAACAUUGUAAAAUAACUUUGUUACAACAAUUGUAAGUCAUGAUCAAAUGAGUAUUUGAAUCAUGGAAUGCUCCUAAAUAACUAAAAUAUAACAAAAAAGGUAGAAAAAUAAUAAAAUAAAAUAAAAUUAGUGGAAUGAACAUCAUUUCAAGCAUUAAAGUAACUAAAUCACAUGGUGCAGAAAUUCACAAUAAUUGAACAUGUGAUCCAAUGAGUAUUAUGAGGAGUAAAGCUGUCAAUAUGGGCUUGGCUUGUGAGGUCGGCCCAACCCAAUCCUUUAGUUAAGUGGGGUUGGACUAAGUUUUUUCAGUCCAUUUAGAAAUGAGGUUUAUAACCCCAACCUCACCUGGCCCAUCGGCCUCAGAGGUCAGCCCAUGGGCUGGGACAUUAAAAUUAAUUAUAAAUAUUUUUAAGUUGGUCAUUUAUUUAUUAGGAAUUAAAAUUUUGUCAAUCUUUUCUAACUAGCUACUUAUUUUAUUAUCCAUUGUUUAGUUGAUCCUAAUUUUUGAAAAUUUGUAGUGUGUUUGAAAUGAAUGGUAAGUUGUUUUUAGUUGUGAACUUCAAAAAGUUGCUUUUACUCGUGAUGGUUUAGUAGUUGUUGCCUUUGCUUAAUGCAAUAUUUUGUUCUUUAAAUUUAGGCUCUCUUCUGUUGUAAUCUUUCUUCUUUUAUGUAGAUACUUUGUGUAGAUCUAUAUUUAUUAUCUUAACCAUAUUAGAAUUUUUUUAUGAAAUUUGUAUCUAAUCAUCAUUUCUUUGCUUAUUACGGUAAAUGCCAUGAGCUAACUACAACUAAGGGAUUAUUUGGUGUGAGGUAUAAGGGAUAAAUAAUUCAAGAUAUAAUAAAGAGGUAUUAGUUAGUACCGGUAUUAUUUAUCACACCAUUUACAUUAUAGUAAUGAGAUAAAUUAUCUGUAUACAUAAUGAAAUAACUAAUUUCGAUAUUAAUUGUCCUAGGAUAACUCUUCCUAGGAUAUCUCUUCCCCAAUAUAACAACCCUUAAAGCUAUUAGUAAAAUGCCUAUAACAUGCUAAAAACUAGUAGAAGACAUAUUAAAGUGAAACCAUAGAAGUUGGUGAUAGUCUAGUACUUACAAUAUUUUUGUUUAUCAUGUUUCCGGUUGCUUUUAUUUUUUCUAAAGGAGUAAUCCGUCCCAACCCAUGGUCCACUUAGGGAUGGGUUGGGCCACUAUUUUAAAGGCCUUUUAGUUAAAAGGGCUAGCUCGUCCUAACCCGUUUAAUUCUCUAGCCCUCUAGGGUUGGGUUGUAUUUGGUUGGGUCAGACCAUUUUGACAGCUCUAAUGAGGAGUGAUGGUUGCAAGUAGUGUUAAGAUAUGUACUGUCUGAGAA